Molecule: ribosomal RNA, 771 nt
Filed under: Limosilactobacillus fermentum
Lineage: Bacteria; Bacillati; Bacillota; Bacilli; Lactobacillales; Lactobacillaceae
Description: bacterial SSU rRNA
Rfam family: Bacterial small subunit ribosomal RNA
Source: RNAcentral
GGGGACAACAUUUGGAAACAGAUGCUAAUACCGCAUAACAACGUUGUUCGCAUGAACAACGCUUAAAAGAUGGCUUCUCGCUAUCACUUCUGGAUGGACCUGCGGUGCAUUAGCUUGUUGGUGGGGUAAUGGCCUACCAAGGCGAUGAUGCAUAGCCGAGUUGAGAGACUGAUCGGCCACAAUGGGACUGAGACACGGCCCAUACUCCUACGGGAGGCAGCAGUAGGGAAUCUUCCACAAUGGGCGCAAGCCUGAUGGAGCAACACCGCGUGAGUGAAGAAGGGUUUCGGCUCGUAAAGCUCUGUUGUUAAAGAAGAACACGUAUGAGAGUAACUGUUCAUACGUUGACGGUAUUUAACCAGAAAGUCACGGCUAACUACGUGCCAGCAGCCGCGGUAAUACGUAGGUGGCAAGCGUUAUCCGGAUUUAUUGGGCGUAAAGAGAGUGCAGGCGGUUUUCUAAGUCUGAUGUGAAAGCCUUCGGCUUAACCGGAGAAGUGCAUCGGAAACUGGAUAACUUGAGUGCAGAAGAGGGUAGUGGAACUCCAUGUGUAGCGGUGGAAUGCGUAGAUAUAUGGAAGAACACCAGUGGCGAAGGCGGCUACCUGGUCUGCAACUGACGCUGAGACUCGAAAGCAUGGGUAGCGAACAGGAUUAGAUACCCUGGUAGUCCAUGCCGUAAACGAUGAGUGCUAGGUGUUGGAGGGUUUCCGCCCUUCAGUGCCGGAGCUAACGCAUUAAGCACUCCGCCUGGGGAGUACGACCGCAAGGU